CUCAGACACUAUCAUUUUGUGCAAAUCAUCUGAUUGAACUGGUCUUCCGUUUAGAUACCAUGACACAUCAGGAGCUGGCAGUCCACUCACCUUGAAACAAAAAUACAAGGAGAUGACAGAAUUUUAAGAUGUGGAGACAAAAGCACAAAGAGGUUACAUGAGUUGUCUAAGGUUACAUGGUUGAAACGUGGCAGAGCCAGGAUUCAAACCCUGCUCAGCUUGGCUCCAGAAUUUGUGUUCUUAUCCAUCGUACACACUGCUUUUCAAGCUAUGUGGCAAGCUAUGAGGUAGAAAGAGGACAAUUUUCAUAACUUAGUUAUCCCAUUGUUGAUUUCCCCCCAAUACUUUUGAAUUCUUCUCUUACUUUGAAGUCCAUUCUGCAGAAUCUUCCUUCUUCAAUUGACAUGUUCUCUGGCACUUGAAGGAAACGUGGUGGGUAAAAUUUCUCCUGGAUUGCAUCCUGAUCAUUCACAUCUCCCCUUGAGGAUGAUCUACUUCUACAAAAAUAUUUUAAUAAUAACUAUGCAUAAAUGUU
Long non-coding RNA from Galeopterus variegatus (Sunda flying lemur), 535 nucleotides. RefSeq lists it as uncharacterized. The record is from RefSeq and is a predicted model, not a curated record. The transcript has 2 exons. Lineage: Eukaryota; Metazoa; Chordata; Mammalia; Dermoptera; Cynocephalidae.